RNAcentral lists this ribosomal RNA (658 nucleotides) under uncultured Terfezia. Its description in RNAcentral is "eukaryotic LSU rRNA". The stretch from base 277 to 430 matches the Rfam family "5.8S ribosomal RNA". Lineage: Eukaryota; Fungi; Ascomycota; Pezizomycetes; Pezizales; Pezizaceae. The record is from RNAcentral.
UCUUGGUCAUUUAGAGGAAGUAAAAGUCGUAACAAGGUUUCCGUAGGUGAACCUGCGGAAGGAUCAUUACUGAAAAAAACUAUUUUCAAGUUUUUUUUUAUAUCCCAUUGUUUAUUUACCCUGUUGCUUCCACUGGACAGAUUUUCACCUUUGUGUGGGAUCUUUUGGCUUGUGUGAAUAAUACUUGCCAGAAAGUUGCCAGUGGCAGGACCCAUUUUUACCAAAACUUGAUUAAAAUCACAAAACUGUCUGAAUAUUUUUCUGUAAUGAAAAUAAAACUUUCAACAACGGAUCUCUAGGCUCUUGCAUCGAUGAAGAACGCAGUGAAAUGCGAUAAGUAAUGUGAAUUGCAGAAUCUCGUGAAUCAUCGAAUCUUUGAACGCACAUUGCGCCCUAUGGUAUUCCGUAGGGCAUGCCUGUCUGAGCGUCAGCUACCCCCUCACUCAAGUAUUUUCUUUAUGUUAUACUUGGAUUGCUUUGGAGAGGUAACUACUUCGUAGUUACCCUUCAGAAAUUCAUAGGCGGUAUGGUUUGUACUUGAACCAGACGUAAUAAUAAUAAAAUCGUUUGUUUAGGUAAUAAUUGUACUUGCCCUUAUCUCACCCAUUUUAACUCUGGGUGACCUCAGAUCAGGUAGGGAUACCCGCUGAACUUAAGC